ACUCAAAGGAAUUGACGGGGGCCCGCACAAGCGGUGGAGCAUGUGGUUUAAUUCGAUGCAACGCGAAGAACCUUACCUACCCUUGACAUCCUUCGAAUCCUGCUGAAAGGUAGGAGUGCCGCAAGGAGCGAAGAGACAGGUGCUGCAUGGCUGUCGUCAGCUCGUGUCGUGAGAUGUAGGGUUAAGUCCCGUAACGAGCGCAACCCUUAUCCUUAGUCGCCAUCAUUGAGUUGGGGACUCUAAGGAGACUGCCGGUGAUAAGCUGGAGGAAGGUGGGGAUGAGGUCAAGUCAUCAUGGCCUUUAUGGGUAGGGCUACACACGUGCUACAAUGGUUGGUACAAAGGGAAGCAAACCUGAGAGGGGGAGCGAAUCUCAAAAAGCCAAUCGUAGUCCGGAUUGGAGUCUGCAACUCGACUCCAUGAAGAUGGAAUCGCUAGUAAUCGCGGAUCAGCACGCCGCGGUGAAUACGUUCCCGGGCCUUGUACACACCGCCCGU
This 497-nucleotide ribosomal RNA is filed under the name uncultured bacterium. RNAcentral describes it as "partial 16S ribosomal RNA". It matches the Rfam family "Bacterial small subunit ribosomal RNA", at positions 899 to 1397 of the family's 1533-position model. The record is from RNAcentral.